UUUUUCUUUAAUAAUCUAUAUACCCAACAUGGGGCUUGAACUCACAACCCUGAGAUCAAGAGUCACAUGCUCUACCAACUGAGCCAGC
Molecule: small nucleolar RNA, 88 nt
Filed under: Canis lupus dingo (dingo)
Lineage: Eukaryota; Metazoa; Chordata; Mammalia; Carnivora; Canidae
Source: RNAcentral